AUAAUAUAUAUGGUUAACAAAAUAAUCGGUUUUGGGCAUGAAUCGAUACGGGAGGGGCGAGUACCGGAACCGACCCAAUUAUUUAUUUCAACAUAAUAAUGGAGCCGGAUCCUUUAUAAAUGGUUGAGUCGAUUCGGGCCAGCCGGGUAGACCUGAACCGUUGACAGCCCCUUCAAGAACAUGAACGAUGAUAGCGAUUGUGCUGCAGCAAGGUUGGUAUCCCUUUUCCUUCUCCCUUCAGACCUGUACUACGAGGUAAGGACCUUCCAAAACCGCACUCGAUGUUCGUACCUUUGUUAUUGGGGCAUAAGAUUUUGUCCUGCGAAGUUGGUUUUGGAUUUUCACGAAUUAAUAAAUUCUACUAAUGCAAUUUCUGCCUUGUCAUUGCAUGAACGUUCUAAUGGGUUCGGAUUGUCAACUGCCGUAUCAGAAUGACAGCCAUAGGGCAUCGCCACUUCCAUGAGAUUGCGUCAUUGGAGCAGAUUCAAACGUUCGAAUUGGAGAAGUAGUCCGCCGAGGCCUUGCAUACGCCGGAGUCCAGAAAAAGCCACUCUAACCCUCUUCUUCUAUACUCACUUGUAAACUAUUUCUAGUCCACCUGUUCCUGAUUAGAUAUUCUUGGCAGGUGAAGGGCGUGAGCGCAAAGGAGACUCGGAAGCGAUACGGAUGCGGAAGCUGUACAGGCACGGAGAAUGCUCGACUUGCAGGCAAGCUCUGCAAAGCUCUCACGGCUUUACUAUGAGGAAGCUGGUCCAAUCUUCCGUUUUUGGACUCCUCGAGGCGUUGAUACUUUUGGGGAGGGCAUUCCGACUAUAUCGCGCCAUACUAUUGUUUCCGCUUUCCGUUAAUAAUGUAAGUAUAUCUGACACAUCCGGGUGGGAUCCGGGUCCGGUCUAGGUAGAAGCACUCCCGAGUUGAUCAUUAAUUGGGACAAAACCUUAGACCCAAAACCGUUAAUUUUAACUUAAAAUUUAGGUUGAAACAAAAACAUAGGUUUAAGACCGAACAAUUUAAGAUAAAAAACACCACUUUUCUUAUUUAAAUCGCAAACUAAAAUUUAAACUUUAAACAUAGAUCGUU
Nelumbo nucifera (sacred lotus) is the source of this 1080-nucleotide non-coding RNA. Lineage: Eukaryota; Viridiplantae; Streptophyta; Magnoliopsida; Proteales; Nelumbonaceae. The record is from RefSeq and is a predicted model, not a curated record.